This 338-nucleotide unclassified non-coding RNA is filed under the name soil metagenome. RNAcentral describes it as "partial contains 5.8S ribosomal RNA, internal transcribed spacer 2, and large subunit ribosomal RNA". The stretch from base 1 to 120 matches the Rfam family "5.8S ribosomal RNA", at positions 35 to 154 of the family's 154-position model. The record is from RNAcentral.
GAUGAAGAACGUAGUGAAAUGCGAUAAGUAGUGUGAAUUGCAGAAUUCAGUGAAUCAUCGAAUCUUUGAACGCACAUUGCGCCCCUUGGUAUUCCAUGGGGCAUGCCUGUUCGAGCGUCAUUUGUACCUUCAAGCUCUGCUUGGUGUUGGGUGUUUGUCUCGCCUCUGCGUGUAGACUCGCCUCAAAACAAUUGGCAGCCGGCGUAUUGAUUUCGGAGCGCAGUACAUCUCGCGCUUUGCACUCAUAACGACGACGUCCAAAAGUACAUUUUUACACUCUUGACCUCGGAUCAGGUAGGGAUACCCGCUGAACUUAAGCAUAUCAAUAAGCCGGAGGA